GAUCCUGGCUCAGGAUGAACGCUAGCUACAGGCUUAACACAUGCAAGUCGAGGGGCAGCAUGGUCUUAGCUUGCUAAGGCCGAUGGCGACCGGCGCACGGGUGAGUAACGCGUAUCCAACCUGCCUUACACUCUUGGACAGCCUUCUGAAAGGGAGAUUAAUACAAGAUGUUAUCAUGAGUAAGCGUUUUCACAUGAUUAAAGGUUUACCGGUGUAAGAUGGGGAUGCGUUCCAUUAG
RNAcentral lists this ribosomal RNA (238 nucleotides) under uncultured bacterium. Its description in RNAcentral is "partial 16S ribosomal RNA". It matches the Rfam family "Bacterial small subunit ribosomal RNA", at positions 15 to 244 of the family's 1533-position model. The record is from RNAcentral.